GCGAGCAUCGAUUAAUGGUAAGUUCCCUGCCUUCCAAGCAGGUGUUAUGGGUUCGAUCCCCAUUGCUCGCA
This 71-nucleotide transfer RNA is filed under the name Andalucia godoyi. Its description in RNAcentral is "tRNA-Gly". It matches the Rfam family "tRNA". From Rfam's summary of the family: Transfer RNA (tRNA) molecules are approximately 80 nucleotides in length. Their secondary structure includes four short double-helical elements and three loops (D, anti-codon, and T loops). Lineage: Eukaryota; Jakobea; Jakobida; Andaluciidae. The record is from RNAcentral.